CUUGAUGUGCAGAACGCUUUUCUUCAUGGAUUGCUUGAAGAAGAGGUUUACAUGCGGCAGCCACCUGGAUUUGUUGAUCACAGUCAGCCUCAUCAUCUCUGUCAUCUGACGAAGGCCAUAUAUGGACUGAAGCAGGCUCCCCAUGCCUGGCAUGCUCGCCUGGCUUCAGCUCUACACACUCAUGGGUUCAUUCCUUCGACGGCUGAUACUUCACUGUUCUUGUUUCACCGAUCGAGUGUGACCAUGUACCUCCUUGUGUAUGUGGAUGAUAUUGUCCUGGCGAGCUCAUCUCCGACGGCUGCUGAUGUUCUUGUGACUGCACUUGGUCGUGAUUUUGCAGUUAAGGAUUUGGGACAGCUUCAUUUCUUCCUG
This 372-nucleotide ribosomal RNA is filed under the name Triticum aestivum (bread wheat). Its description in RNAcentral is "partial small subunit ribosomal RNA". Lineage: Eukaryota; Viridiplantae; Streptophyta; Magnoliopsida; Poales; Poaceae. The record is from RNAcentral.